UACGUAGGGCGCAAGGCGUUAUCCGGAAUUAUUGGGCGUAAAGGAGCUCGUAGGUGGCGUGUCGCGUCUGCCGUGGAAAGCCCACUGGGCUUAACCCGUGGGUCUGCGGUGGAUACGGGCAGGCUGGAGGCUGGUAGGGGCAAGCGGAAUUCCUGGUGUAGCGGUGAAAUGCGCAGAUAUCAGGAGGAACACCGGUGGCGAAGGCGGUUCUCUGGGCCUUACCUGACGCUGAGGAGCGAAAGCGUGGGGAGCAAACAGG
Molecule: ribosomal RNA, 259 nt
Filed under: uncultured bacterium
Lineage: Bacteria
Description: partial 16S ribosomal RNA
Rfam family: Bacterial small subunit ribosomal RNA
Source: RNAcentral